GACGAACGCUGGCGGCGUGCUUAACACGUGCAAGUCGAACGGAAAGGCCCUGCUUUUGUGGGGUGCUCGAGUGGCGAACGGGUGAGUAACACGUGAGUAACCUGCCCUUGACUUUGGGAUAACUUCAGGAAACUGGGGCUAAUACCGGAUAGGAGCUCCUGCUGCAUGGUGGGGGUUGGAAAGUUUCGGCGGUUGGGGAUGGACUCGCGGCUUAUCAGCUUGUUGGUGGGGUAGUGGCUUACCAAGGCUUUGACGGGUAGCCGGCCUGAGAGGGUGACCGGCCACAUUGGGACUGAGAUACGGCCCAGACUCCUACGGGAGGCAGCAGUGGGGAAUAUUGCACAAUGGGCGGAAGCCUGAUGCAGCAACGCCGCGUGCGGGAUGACGGCCUUCGGGUUGUAAACCGCUUUCGCCUGUGACGAAGCGUGAGUGACGGUAAUGGGCAAAGAAGCACCGGCUAACUACGUGCCAGCAGCCGCGGUAA
Molecule: ribosomal RNA, 484 nt
Filed under: uncultured bacterium
Lineage: Bacteria
Description: partial 16S ribosomal RNA
Rfam family: Bacterial small subunit ribosomal RNA
Source: RNAcentral